AUGUGUGGUGGACGGACUCCAUUGGAGGAGACAUCUUCAAUCAGAGCCACAGCCGUAUCGGCCUGGACAGCAGGGGGCGCUAUGAGGUCCACAGCUCCAUGGAGGUCAGUCCAAACAGUACUCACCAUCAUUGUUGAAAUGAGACUAGAGGUUCUCAAUCAAACCUUCACCCGCUCGCUCACCCUCCACCCACUUCCAGAAUGCUGUGAGGUGCCUCUUGCAACCAGGGGCAGACCGGCUUUGGUGUUAUUAGGGAUAGUUCUCUUAGCAGCAUUAGCAAUGCCACUCAUUUUGUACUUCAGACGCAAGCCUGAAGCACACCGACACCAGAUGGUCCCACAUGACGACACAACAGGACAAGACGAGGCUCAUGAAACAGAAAUUUGAUAAAAACUAGUUACAAAAGUCUAAGCUGUGUUUCAAUGUCACAAAUAUAGGUGUGUGUGUGUGUGUUGUUGCCUUAUUAAAUAUUUCCAAUCCCUCUUGGUAAAGUAUUAUAGAGUACUGCUGGAAGGAGACUUUGCUACUCCCUGCAACCCUACGUAAUCCAGCCUACUUAGAUUAUUUUGCGAUGCAAAGCUGUCAAGGCAAAGGGUGGCUACUUUGAAGAAUCUAAAAUAUAUAAAUAUAUUUUGAUUUCUUUAACACUUUUUUUGUGGUUCUACAUGAUUCCAUAUGUGUUAUUUCAUAGUUUUGAUGUCUUCACUAUUAUUUCACAAUGUAGAAAAUAGUAAAAAAAAAGGAAAACCCCUGAAUGAGUAAGUGUGUCCAAACUUUUGACUGGUACUGUACAUUUUGUCCAAUGUUAUUGUCAAAGGUGGCCUGGUAACAACAACUGUGGGAAAAGUACUAUCCACCUUACAGUUGGACUGGUUGAAAAGUUGAUCCUACACCACGAGGUGGAUGGAACGUCUGGGGCAUAUUAUAGAAAUAUUUCAAAUUUCAUGGCACUUGGAGUCACUCUGUGAGACAGUUCAUUACAUUAACUAUUUACCGUUGCUGCAAAACUUGAAUGUGCAUUGUCACUUAGAUAAGGAAUGACAUACAACCCUAGUGAUAGCAGUUAAAAAAGAUGCCCUUUGACACCAUCACCCUCAGAGCUAAAGUGUGAAACUUUACUUAUAUUGAUGACAGUGAUGAGGCCAGCCUGUGCCCAUCCAUUCAAAGUGUCAAAGAAACUAAGCAAGAGGAGUGUUUUGUCUGUGAGCUGCAAUGCCAUGUUGGCCUACUGUUGGUUAUAAAACCGAUAAAUCCACAAUAAUCAAGAACUUCAAGAAGCAUUUCUCUAUGGCUGGCCAUGCUUUCCUUCUGGCUACCCCAACACCGGCCAACAGCUCCGCACCCCCCCGCACCCCCCACAGCUACAUGCCCAAGCCUCCCCAGCUUCUCCUUCACCCAAAUCCAGAUAGCAGAUGUUCAGAAAGAGCUGCAAAACCUGGAACCGUACAAAUCAGCUGGGCUAGACAAUCUGGACCCUCUCUUUCUAAAAUUAUCUGCCUCCAUGGUUGCAACCCCGAUUACCAGUCUGUUCAACCUCUCUUUCAUAUCGUCCGAGAUUCCUAAAGAUUGGAAAGCUGCCGCGGUCAUCCCCCUCUUCAUCCCCCUCUUCAAAGGGGGUGACACUCUAGACCCAAACUGAUACAGACCUUUAUACAUCCUGCCCUGCCUUUGUAAAGUCUUCGAAAGCCAAGUUAACAAACAGAUCAACGACCAUUUUGAAUCCCACCGUACCUUCUCCGCUGUGCAAUCCUGUUUCCUAGCUGGUCACGGGUGCACCUCAGCCACGCUCAAGGUACUAAACAAUAUCAGAACCGUCAUCGAUAAAAGACAGUACUGUGCAGCCGUCUUCAUCGACCUGGCCAAGGCUUUCGGCUUUCGUCAAUCACUGUAUUCUUAUUGGCAUACUCAACAGCCUUGGUUUCUCAAAUGACUGCCUCACGUGGUUCACCAGCUACAUCUUAGAUAGAGGGCCUGUUGUCCGGACCUCUGGCAGUCACUAUGGGGGUACCACAGGGUUUAUUCUCGGGCUGACUCUUUUCUCGGUAUAUAUCAACGAUGUCGCUCUUGCUGCGUGUGAUUCUUUGAUCCACCUCUACGCAGACGACACCAAUCUGUAUACAUCUAGCCCUUAUUUUGACACUGUGUUAACAAACCUCCAAACGAGCUUAAUGCCACACAACACCCCUUCCGUGGCCUCCAACUGCUCUGAAGCGCUAGUAAAACUAAAUGCAUGCUCUUCAACCGAUCGCUGGAUUAGCAUCACUACGCUUCGCUACUAUGGCUUAUUUAUUGCCUUACCUCCUUACGCAAUUUGCACACACUGUAUAUAGACUUUUUAUAUUGUGUUAUUGACUGUACGUUUGUUUAUUCCAUGUGUAACUCUGUGUUGUUGUUUGUGUCGCAUUGCUUUGCUUUAUCUUGGCCAGGUCGCAGUUGUAAAUGAGAACUUGUUCUCAACUGGCCUAUCUGGUUAAGGAAAGGUGAAAAAAAAGAAAUAAAAGAGAGUACAUUUUAAAGUUAGGGUUUAAUAAAUGUUAGUAGCUCUGUAAUGCAUUUCAGAUACUCACUAUAUCAUGUGUAUUUAAGAAAUCCUGACCUCACCCCUCUCGUCACACCCCCAAAAUCCUCAUGGUUCUAUAGUCAAUUCUUGUUCAGACCUCUGUCACCCUAUUCUUGAUCGAGCUGCCAGUAAAUAAAGAUGUGGCUCUCAUAUCCUGUUUCAAUAACAACGUUUCUGUAAUGGUUUCCAUGGUUGGUUUUAUUUGUGUAAGCUCUCCUCGCCCGUCUCCUAUUGACAUUCACUUAAGCCAUGUUCUGUUGACAUACACUUAAAACAUCCAUAUGUAAGUAACGAGCACUUCUUCUAAUCCAUGUUUAAAUAUUGCCUUAAAACAAUAAAUUAAAAGCACAUGAUAAUUUGAAUAAUUUGAAAGUACAUUGUUAUUUUAUAU
This 2951-nucleotide long non-coding RNA is filed under the name Oncorhynchus mykiss (rainbow trout). RNAcentral describes it as "lncRNA (ENSOMYG00000027103.2)". The record is from RNAcentral. Lineage: Eukaryota; Metazoa; Chordata; Actinopteri; Salmoniformes; Salmonidae.